Suricata suricatta (meerkat) is the source of this 415-nucleotide long non-coding RNA. RefSeq lists it as uncharacterized. The transcript is spliced from 2 exons. Lineage: Eukaryota; Metazoa; Chordata; Mammalia; Carnivora; Herpestidae. The record is from RefSeq and is a predicted model, not a curated record.
UCGAGUGUCAGAUGCUCAAUGGACUGAGCCACCCAGAUGCCCUAGCACAUCUUUUCUAUAGGAAUUCCGGGUUCUUCACUGCCCGCAGGUUGACCAUAAAUGCUUCCCAGUCUGUUUGCCACAUCCAGGGAAUAAAUAACACUCACAGGACCGGAGUAUAGACGCUCUAAUCUUGGACCCAACUCUGGAACAGAGAAGGAGGGUAAGAGUCUGGGAGCAUGGAAAGAGAAAGUUCCUUCUCUUGGGAGGAAGCCACGGCAGACAGCAUACCUUCUUGCCGUGACAGGUAUGCAGGACUCCAGAGAAAUCUAUUCCAACAGGGUUGAUGUUAGGAAACCCACGGACCUGUACAUCGAAGCCAUGUUCUCCAAUAUUAUUAACUUUCUUAGUAAUAAAAGUCAUUUUGUAGAACCUA